RNAcentral lists this transfer RNA (77 nucleotides) under Chromatium okenii. RNAcentral's name for it is "tRNA-Met". It matches the Rfam family "tRNA". From Rfam's summary of the family: Transfer RNA (tRNA) molecules are approximately 80 nucleotides in length. Their secondary structure includes four short double-helical elements and three loops (D, anti-codon, and T loops). Further hydrogen bonds mediate the characteristic L-shaped molecular structure. tRNAs have two regions of fundamental functional importance: the anti-codon, which is responsible for specific mRNA codon recognition, and the 3' end, to which the tRNAs corresponding amino acid is attached (by aminoacyl-tRNA synthetases). tRNAs cope with the degeneracy of the genetic code in two manners: having more than one tRNA (with a specific anti-codon) for a particular amino acid; and 'wobble' base-pairing, i.e. permitting non-standard base-pairing at the 3rd anti-codon position. Lineage: Bacteria; Pseudomonadati; Pseudomonadota; Gammaproteobacteria; Chromatiales; Chromatiaceae. The record is from RNAcentral.
GGCUACGUAGCUCAGUUGGUUAGAGCAUCGCACUCAUAAUGCGGGGGUCGGUGGUUCAAGUCCACCUGUAGCCACCA